AUGACCCUCAAUCUCCGUGAAGGUGGUCUUUGGUUUUGCAGCUCAGAUUUUCUAUUGCUGUUGAUCUGCAUGAGAAGGGAUCAGUGUCCUGCUACUUGUCUGCAGCAGCUGCCUCAUAUCUGCUACCUUAUGGAUCCCUUCCAACUCAGGAUAUCCUAUGAUUCCUCCUUCAUCAUCCUUCUGCUGAACCUGGGACCUCCACAGCGAGCAGCUAAAGAAGGGAUGGAGCUGCAGCAGAAGCAUUCCUGCUCAUAUCAGACAGCUGUGGAUGGCAAUGGGUCAUUUCACUCCAUUAUGGUUUCUGGCAAGGGAAAAAAAAUACCUAAAGGGAAAAUAGCAGAUCCUGUCUGUUUGACAGCCACGGUGGUCUCUGCCUCCUCAGAAAACAGCAGCAAUGAGCACUGCGGGGACAACUCGCUCCUUGUUCAGUUCCAGUGGAUGUCUUCGUUGCCAGGUUCUAGCUGCAUCAUCUGUCACAGUGAGAAGCAAAAUGACGAAGAGAGAAAAGAUCAGUAA
This 516-nucleotide long non-coding RNA is filed under the name Meleagris gallopavo (turkey). Its description in RNAcentral is "lncRNA (ENSMGAG00000019880.1)". The record is from RNAcentral. Lineage: Eukaryota; Metazoa; Chordata; Aves; Galliformes; Phasianidae.